GGACCCACCUGACUCCAUUCCGAACUCAGAAGUGAAACGAAAUAGCGCCGAUGGUAGUGUGGGGCUUCCCCAUGUGAGAGUAGGACAUCGCCAGGC
This 96-nucleotide ribosomal RNA is filed under the name Vibrio parahaemolyticus. The record is from RNAcentral. Lineage: Bacteria; Pseudomonadati; Pseudomonadota; Gammaproteobacteria; Vibrionales; Vibrionaceae.